Molecule: ribosomal RNA, 489 nt
Filed under: uncultured bacterium
Lineage: Bacteria
Description: bacterial SSU rRNA
Rfam family: Bacterial small subunit ribosomal RNA
Source: RNAcentral
GAUGAACGCUAGCUACAGGCUUAACACAUGCAAGUCGAGGGGCAGCAUGAACUUAGCUUGCUAAGUUUGAUGGCGACCGGCGCACGGGUGAGUAACACGUAUCCAACCUGCCGAUGACUCGGGGAUAGCCUUUCGAAAGAAAGAUUAAUACCCGAUGGCAUAGUUCUUCCGCAUGGUAGAACUAUUAAAGGAUUUCGGUCAUCGAUGGGGAUGCGUUCCAUUAGGUUGUUGGCGGGGUAACGGCCCACCAAGCCUUCGAUGGAUAGGGGUUCUGAGAGGAAGGUCCCCCACAUUGGAACUGAGACACGGUCCAAACUCCUACGGGAGGCAGCAGUGAGGAAUAUUGGUCAGUGGUCGGCAGACUGAACCAGCCAAGUCGCGUGAGGGAAGACGGCCCUACGGGUUGUAAACCUCUUUUGUCGGAGAGUAAAGUACGCUACGUGUAGUGUAUUGCAAGUAUCCGAAGAAAAAGCAUCGGCUAACUCCGUG